UGGGGAAUUGUUCACAAUGGGCGCAAGCCUGAUGACGCAACGCCGCGUGGGGGAUGAAGGUCUUCGGAUCGUAAACCCCUGUCGAAUGGGACGAAAGACUCGCGAGUGAAUACUUCGCGAGAGUGACGGUACCGUUAAAGGAAGCCACGGCUAACUCUGUGCCAGCAGCCGCGGUAAUACAGAGGUGGCAAGCGUUGUUCGGAAUUACUGGGCGUAAAGGGCGCGUAGGCGGCCCUCUAAGUCAGACGUGAAAUCCCCCGGCUUAACCUGGGAACUGCGUCUGAUACUGGAGGGCUUGAGUAUGGGAGAGGGAUGUAGAAUUCCAGGUGUAGCGGUGAAAUGCGUAGAUAUCAAGAGGAACACCUGAGGUGAAGACGGGUUGCUGGGCUGACACUGACGCUGAGGCGCGAAAGCCAGGGGAGCAAACGGGAUUAGAUACCCUGGUAGUCCCUGAGCGGGCUGGCAAGGCGCAU
Molecule: ribosomal RNA, 473 nt
Filed under: uncultured bacterium
Lineage: Bacteria
Description: bacterial SSU rRNA
Rfam family: Bacterial small subunit ribosomal RNA
Source: RNAcentral